Molecule: transfer RNA, 76 nt
Filed under: Reyranella sp.
Lineage: Bacteria; Pseudomonadati; Pseudomonadota; Alphaproteobacteria; Hyphomicrobiales; Reyranellaceae
Also listed under: 9 other names
Description: tRNA-Lys
Rfam family: tRNA
About the family: Transfer RNA (tRNA) molecules are approximately 80 nucleotides in length. Their secondary structure includes four short double-helical elements and three loops (D, anti-codon, and T loops). Further hydrogen bonds mediate the characteristic L-shaped molecular structure. tRNAs have two regions of fundamental functional importance: the anti-codon, which is responsible for specific mRNA codon recognition, and the 3' end, to which the tRNAs corresponding amino acid is attached (by aminoacyl-tRNA synthetases). tRNAs cope with the degeneracy of the genetic code in two manners: having more than one tRNA (with a specific anti-codon) for a particular amino acid; and 'wobble' base-pairing, i.e. permitting non-standard base-pairing at the 3rd anti-codon position.
Source: RNAcentral
GGGCGCAUAGCUCAGUUGGUAGAGCAGCUGACUCUUAAUCAGCUUGUCCCAGGUUCGAGCCCUGGUGCGCCCACCA